Molecule: ribosomal RNA, 269 nt
Filed under: uncultured bacterium
Lineage: Bacteria
Description: partial 16S ribosomal RNA
Rfam family: Bacterial small subunit ribosomal RNA
Source: RNAcentral
UACGAAGGGGGCUAGCGUUGUUCGGAAUCACUGGGCGUAAAGCGCACGUAGGCGGAUUGUUAAGUCGGGGGUGAAAUCCUGAGGCUCAACCUCAGAACUGCCUUCGAUACUGGCGAUCUUGAGUCCGGAAGAGGUUGGUGGAACAGCUAGUGUAGAGGUGAAAUUCGUAGAUAUUAGCUAGAACACCAGUGGCGAAGGCGGCCAACUGGUCCGGAACUGACGCUGAGGUGCGAAAGCGUUGGGGAGCAAACAGGAUUAGAUACCCGGUG